Molecule: long non-coding RNA, 826 nt
Organism: Puntigrus tetrazona (Sumatra barb)
Lineage: Eukaryota; Metazoa; Chordata; Actinopteri; Cypriniformes; Cyprinidae
Exons: 4
Source: RefSeq, a predicted model, not a curated record
AUUAACGUUAUGCGUAAGGACGUAACCGCGAAGUUUUCGCGUGUGCCCGCGGCGUGGACAAAUUCGAAGUUUGUUCAUUUUUAUCACAAGAAAAUGUUUUUUUUUCAACGCAUUCAAGAAAGUUGUACAUAAGAAGCAAACAAGUCUAACUGUCAAAGAGAUUGUGAAGAAUCCACGAGAACAAGAGCAGUUCCCACCUGGUUUCCAUGGCAUCUGUCCAACUCACAGCAGGAAAGGAAGCAGAUCUCGGCAGUGCUGAGUUCGCCCUCUUCUGGACGGAAUUACCACCACCCAGCAAAUCACGAGAUCAUUUGGGAUGCCAGCAGAAUCAAUAUACAGACAAAAAUGUGAUUUUUUUUAAUAACUUCUCACACACUCUAUAUUGUAUUUAUAUAAAAGUUCUAAUUUAAGCUAAUUACUUUUAUGUUUCAUAAGCGUUAACAUUUUUGUUCGUUUCUAGUUAAAUGUGGCUAAGGUAACUUGAGAUUCAAUGAGUCACGUUAAAUCACUAAAAAGAACCGUUCGUAAGAGUUAUUCGUUGUCGAAUCGAACUACAUUGAUCGCGAUGAAUGUUUUUGAUUCACUAAAAACAUUAGUGACAGCACUGUUAACUAAACGUGUAACGUCGUUGGGCGCUCCGACGCAUGCAAUAAAUAAGCAUUUUACAUUUUCGCUUCUGGUUUUUGAGAGGUGAUUAUUUACAAAUGAGUUUUUAAAUAAAACCAUCUAAAUCAUUUCUCAACAGCGUCAUUCGCAAGGCAAAGCUCUGCGCAAAAGCGGAUGUUUUUUGGGGUUUUAAGAAAAACGCAUAUUCGUUAACAGCGCA